This 115-nucleotide ribosomal RNA is filed under the name Pectobacterium parmentieri WPP163. The record is from RNAcentral. Lineage: Bacteria; Pseudomonadati; Pseudomonadota; Gammaproteobacteria; Enterobacterales; Pectobacteriaceae. RNAcentral also lists the same sequence under 2 other names.
UGGCGGCGAUAGCGCGGUGGUCCCACCUGACCCCAUGCCGAACUCAGAAGUGAAACGCCGUAGCGCCGAUGGUAGUGUGGGGCUUCCCCAUGUGAGAGUAGGGAACUGCCAGGUU